CAUUCCUUCCGCUAUCUUGUCUGGGUUGUCCUUCUCAAUGUCAAAGUCAAACUGGAUGGCCUCGUUUUCCUUGUGCUUGUCUUUCCUCUUCUUGGCAUCAAUGACACGUAACCUGGUGGGAGAAUUAUGAGGGUCACUAGAGUGUUUAAGGUUAGGUUAGCUUAGGGGAGGUUAGGUUAGGUUAGCUUAGUUUAGGGGAGGUUAGGUUAGGCUAGCUUAGGGGAGGUUAGGUUAGGUUAGGUUAGGUUAGCUUAGGGGAGGUUAGUUUAGGUUAGGUUAGCUUAGGGGAGGUUAGGUUAGGUUAGCUUAGGGGAGGUUAGGUUAGGUUAGCUUAGGGGAGGUUAGGUUAGGUUAGGUUAGCUUAGGGGAGGUUAGGUUAGGUUAGCUUAGGGGAGGUUAGGUUAGGUUAGCUUAGGGGAGGUUAGGUUAGGUUAGCUUAGGGGAGGUUAGGUUAGGUUAGCUUAGGGGAGGUUAGGUUAGGUUAGCUUAGGGGAGGUUAGGUUAGGUUAGCUUAGGGGAGGUUAGGUUAGGUUAGGUUAGCUUAGGGGAGGUUAGGUUAGGUUAGGUUAGCUUAGGGGAGGUUAGGUUAGGUUAGGUUAGGUUAGGGGAGGGGUGACUUUUCUCUCUCCCUCCUUCUCUCUGACUCUCCAUUCUUCCUCUCUCCCUCUUUCUCUAUUCUUUAUCUCUCCCUCUUUCUCUCCCUUCUUUUUUGUCUCCUUUGCUAAAAUGAAUGAAAGGAAAACAAAAAAGAAAGAACAGAAAAGAACAAAAAAAAGGCAAAACAAAGAGAAGAAAAAACAAAACAAAUAUAAAAAGAAAAACAAUGACUCGUUAAGACACCUUUGGGAGGGAACACCUGUAU
Eriocheir sinensis (Chinese mitten crab) is the source of this 862-nucleotide long non-coding RNA. RefSeq lists it as uncharacterized. Lineage: Eukaryota; Metazoa; Arthropoda; Malacostraca; Decapoda; Varunidae. The record is from RefSeq and is a predicted model, not a curated record. The transcript has 4 exons.